CGCCAGCCCGCUCAGAAACUUAAGGAAUUGACGGGGCCCCGGCACAAGCGGUGGAGCAUGUGGUUUAAUUCGAUGAUACGCGAGGAACCUUACCUGGGCUCAAAUGUAUGUUGACGUAUUCUGAAAGGGAUACUUCUUCGGACAAUAUACAAGGUGCUGCAUGGUUGUCGUCAGCUCGUGUCGUGAGAUGUUGGGUUAAGUCCCGCAACGAGCGCAACCCUUGUGUUUAGUUGCAAACAGGUCAAGCUGUGCACUCUAGACAGACUGCCGUGGACAACACGGAGGAAGGUGGGGAUGACGUCAAAUCAUCAUGCCCCUUAUGAUCUGGGCUACACACGUGCUACAAUGGCCGGUACAACGGGCAGCGAAGGAGCGAUCCGGAGCGAAUCCUAAAAAGCCGGUCCCAGUUCGGAUUGCAGGCUGAAACUCGCCUACAUGAAGUUGGAGUUGCUAGUAAUCGCGAAAUCAGAAUGUCGCGGUGAAUGCGUUCCCGGGUCUU
Molecule: ribosomal RNA, 499 nt
Filed under: uncultured Fusibacter sp.
Lineage: Bacteria; Bacillati; Bacillota; Clostridia; Eubacteriales; Fusibacteraceae
Description: bacterial SSU rRNA
Rfam family: Bacterial small subunit ribosomal RNA
Source: RNAcentral